Molecule: ribosomal RNA, 756 nt
Filed under: uncultured bacterium
Lineage: Bacteria
Description: bacterial SSU rRNA
Rfam family: Bacterial small subunit ribosomal RNA
Source: RNAcentral
AGAGUUUGAUCAUGGCUCAGAAUCAACGCUGGCGGCGUGCCUAACACAUGCAAGUCGAACGAGAAAGGGUAGCAAUACCUGAGUAAAGUGGCGCACGGGUGAGUAACACGUGACUAACCUACCCUGGAGUGGGGGAUAACUGAGGGAAACCUUAGCUAAUACCGCAUAACACCUACGGGUCAAAGGAGCAAUUCGCUUCAGGAGGGGGUCGCGGCCGAUUAGUUAGUUGGCGGGGUAAUGGCCCACCAAGACGAUGAUCGGUAUCCGGCCUGAGAGGGCGCACGGACACACUGGAACUGAAACACGGUCCAGACUCCUACGGGAGGCAGCAGUGGGGAAUUUUGCGCAAUGGGGGAAACCCUGACGCAGCAACGCCGCGUGGAGGAUGAAGUCCUUCGGGACGUAAACUCCUUUCGAUCGGGACGAUUAUGACGGUACCGGAAGAAGAAGCCCCGGCUAACUUCGUGCCAGCAGCCGCGGUAAUACGAGGGGGGCGAGCGUUGUUCGGAAUUAUUGGGCGUAAAGGGUGCGUAGGCGGUUUGGUAAGUCUUCUGUGAAAUCUAUGGGCUCAACUCAUAGACUGCAUGAGAAACUGCCGGGCUUGAGUGUGGGAGAGGUGAGUGGAAUUCCUGGUGUAGCGGUGAAAUGCGUAGAUAUCAGGAGGAACACCUGUGGCGAAAGCGGCUCACUGGACCAUAACUGACGCUGAUGUACGAAAGCUAGGGGAGCAAACAGGAUUAGAUACCCCAGUAGUCC